UAUACUACCUUAAGGUGGUACCUAACACUACAGGGAGAUAACUCUGUAAAAUCUGAUAAACGUUUUAAAUUACGUUGUGUUGUUAAGGGAAUAUCAAGCUUCUCAAUGAUCAAAAUAAGUGUUUGUCAAACUGCUAUAUAACCAGUGUAAUUUUUCUGAUAAAACGGUUGGUUCAAAUUUUUUGAAAUUUUUAUAUUUUUGUAAAAGGGUCAAAGUAAAUACUAAUACUUUUGACAAAAUUUUAAGAAAAUUAAACGAGCC
This 261-nucleotide long non-coding RNA is filed under the name Mytilus galloprovincialis (Mediterranean mussel). The record is from RNAcentral. Lineage: Eukaryota; Metazoa; Mollusca; Bivalvia; Mytilida; Mytilidae.